RNAcentral lists this ribosomal RNA (412 nucleotides) under Odorrana graminea (large odorous frog). RNAcentral describes it as "partial 16S ribosomal RNA". It matches the Rfam family "Bacterial large subunit ribosomal RNA", at positions 1834 to 2459 of the family's 2925-position model. Lineage: Eukaryota; Metazoa; Chordata; Amphibia; Anura; Ranidae. The record is from RNAcentral.
CCUGAUUAAACAUAAGAGGUCCAGCCUGCCCAGUGAUAACAUUCAACGGCCGCGGUAUUCUGACCGUGCGAAGGUAGCAUAAUCACUUGUUCUCUAAAUAAGGACUAGUAUCAACGGCAUCACGAGGGCUAUACUGUCUCCCCCCUCCAAUCAGUGAAACUGAUCCCCCCGUGAAGAAGCGGGGAUUUAAUUAUAAGACGAGAAGACCCCAUGGAGCUUUAAACCUAACAUACACCCCCUCGCUAAGAUAUCAGCUAAGCCUAGAGGGCCUGUGCGUUGGUCUUAGGCUGGGGGGACCACGGAGCAAAAUCAAACCUCCAUAACAAAUGGGCUAAAACCCUUAUCCACGAUUUACAAAUCCAAGAAUCAUCAAAAUGAUGUUUAAUGACCCGAUAAUUCGAUCAAUGAACCA